RNAcentral lists this ribosomal RNA (433 nucleotides) under uncultured bacterium. Its description in RNAcentral is "partial 16S ribosomal RNA". It matches the Rfam family "Bacterial small subunit ribosomal RNA", at positions 29 to 507 of the family's 1533-position model. The record is from RNAcentral.
AACGAACGCGGGCGGCAUGCCUAACACAUGCAAGUCGAACGAGACCUUCGGGUCUAGUGGCGCACGGGUGCGUAACGCGUGGGAACCUGCCCUUAGGUUCGGAAUAACUCCCCGAAAGGGGUGCUAAUACCGGAUAAUGUCUUCGGACCAAAGAUUUAUCGCCUUUGGAUGGGCCCGCGUUGGAUUAGCUAGUUGGUAGGGUAAAAGCCUACCAAGGCGACGAUCCAUAGCUGGUCUGAGAGGAUGAUCAGCCACACUGGGACUGAGACACGGCCCAGACUCCUACGGGAGGCAGCAGUGGGGAAUAUUGGACAAUGGGCGAAAGCCUGAUCCAGCAAUGCCGCGUGAGUGAUGAAGGCCUUAGGGUUGUAAAGCUCUUUUACCCGGGAUGAUAAUGACAGUACCGGGAGAAUAAGCUCCGGCUAACUCCGUG